AGUUGGAUAGCUCAGUGGUAGAGCAUAUGCCUUGUAUGCACAAGGUCCUGAGUUCAAUCCCCAGUGCAUCCA
This 72-nucleotide transfer RNA is filed under the name Camelus bactrianus (Bactrian camel). It matches the Rfam family "tRNA". Rfam says of the family: Transfer RNA (tRNA) molecules are approximately 80 nucleotides in length. RNAcentral also lists the same sequence under 2 other names. The record is from Rfam by way of RNAcentral. Lineage: Eukaryota; Metazoa; Chordata; Mammalia; Artiodactyla; Camelidae.